RNAcentral lists this ribosomal RNA (253 nucleotides) under uncultured bacterium. RNAcentral describes it as "partial 16S ribosomal RNA". It matches the Rfam family "Bacterial small subunit ribosomal RNA", at positions 524 to 776 of the family's 1533-position model. The record is from RNAcentral.
GACAGAGGCCCCGAGCGUUAGGCGGAAUCACUGGGCGUAAAGGGUGCGUAGGCGGGUCUUUAAGUCAGGGGUGAAAUCCUGGAGCUCAACUCCAGAACUGCCUUUGAUACUGAAGAUCUUGAGUUCGGGAGAGGUGAGUGGAACUGCGAGUGUAGAGGUGAAAUUCGUAGAUAUUCGCAAGAACACCAGUGGCGAAGGCGGCUCACUGGCCCGAUACUGACGCUGAGGCACGAAAGCGUGGGGAGCAAACAGG